CCGCACGGGUGAGUAACGCGUAUGCAACUUGCCUAUCAGGAGGGGAGAACCCGGCGAAAGUCGGACUAAUACCGCAUGAAGCAGGGAUCCCGCAUGGGAAUAUUUGCUAAAGAUUCAUCGCUGAUAGAUAGGCAUGCGUUCCAUUAGGCAGUUGGCGGGGUAACGGCCCACCAAACCGACGAUGGAUAGGGGUUCUGAGAGGAAGGUCCCCCACAUUGGUACUGAGACACGGACCAA
Molecule: ribosomal RNA, 237 nt
Filed under: uncultured bacterium
Lineage: Bacteria
Description: partial 16S ribosomal RNA
Rfam family: Bacterial small subunit ribosomal RNA
Source: RNAcentral